Brassica napus (rape) is the source of this 5002-nucleotide long non-coding RNA. RefSeq lists it as uncharacterized. NCBI's taxonomy places the organism in Eukaryota, Viridiplantae, Streptophyta, Magnoliopsida, Brassicales, Brassicaceae. The record is from RefSeq and is a predicted model, not a curated record. The transcript is spliced from 4 exons.
GACAUAAAAGAACUUGCAAAUUUUGUAAUUGGAAAAAGUAACCUAAAUAGUAUACGUCUAUGAUAGUUAAUAUAUGUAAAUUGAAAAGGAAGUCUACCAUGGUGCAGCCUUCAUUUGGAGUCUACAUAAAAAAAAUAUAUUAAAAGUGAAUUUGUGUAUUAUUCAUUAAACAGUUUCACGACUUUAUUGUUUCAUGGUAUGUAUUAGUGAAUCCUAAUGGUCUUGAAUGAAUUUCAAAAGUUAUGUUAUAAUUAUGGAGCUAUCAAAUAUCUUGUUUGACUAUGUUGUUAACUCAUAAACAUAGACUUCUUUAAAAGUCUAGUUUUUAAUUUUAUCAAACAUGACAUAUUUGUUUGUUAAGUUUGUAUAUCGUGUUUGUUUUUGCUGGGAAUGGUACAAUUAUCUGUUGUAUACGGAGAGUGGGUGGUGAAAAACUCUUUGUGGGAGUUUGUGGUUGAUGAUCGGAAAGGAGGGAAAAUUUGCUUUCUAUAUGAUGGUUGUACAUAUCGUGAGUUUCUUGAAAUGGCACAAAAAGAUUAUGAUGUGGACAAAAAAUUGAGAUGGUGGAGUUAAUUUAUUCCUUACGAGACCUAAUGUUACAGGAAAUACCUCUGGAUACUGCUCAUAUGCAUGUCACGAAUGAUAGACAAGUGUGGAACUUGAUCGAGUUAUCUAAGAUGUGUAUUGUAUUGUAUGACUUUGUUUAUCAAGUCAAUGCCAUAAAGAAGUUGGGCUUGACGACAAUGUGGAUGUGUUUGAUGGUAAUGGUAGUAGUUUUGUUGAUUAAGAUUUUGAUGAAGGGUUGGAUGAGAUAAUGUUGCUGAUGAUGUCCAAACAACUGAAGUAUACUCUUGAGACUUAUUGAAAAGUUUUUGUGAGUAAUUUACUCUAAAGACUUUUUGAGAAGUUUUUAUAGAUUUUCUUGUUCGCACAUAUGUGUUAGUUCUUGUUUUUCCAUAUGGUGGAUUCAAACUGUUUGUUGAUUAGAAUAUGUGGAGAUAAAUUUGAUAACAAAAAUUAAUAAUAUCAUACAUACAAGUGAAACACAAUUAAAAAUAGUAAUUUACAAACAAAUCUUUUUAUAAUGAUAAUUAAUUACAAAGGAAUAUUUUAUAAGAUUCUUCUAGAGAUUAUUUGAUUAUUCAUAAUCUUGGUGGCUCAAAUGAAGUAUGCUAAUAAGACAUACAAAAACACACAAAAUAAUAUUAAAAAUGCUUUAAAUUAUAAAAAGAUAAUAUAUAAAAGUAUAGAAUAAAAUUUUAGUAGAUUUCAUUUGAAGUCUACAUAAAAUUUAUGCUUUAGUAUACUUCAUAUGAAAUAUACUAACCUUAACUUUUAUAAUAUGAAUUUAAAAUAGAUAUAUCUAAAUUGUAUAUGUUUGGAAGGGAGAGAUUAAAGGCUUGGAAGAGAGUAUCAAUAAAAUAAGAUAAAUUAUAAGAACAAAUACGAUAAAAAUGAAAAUCAUAUUUUUGUAGACUUCUCAUGAAAUCUGCCUAAAAUUUAUAUUUGGUAAACUUCAUUUGAAAUCUACUAGCCUUAAUUUUGAAUUAGACUUCAUCAGAAGUAUACUGUAUUAGAUAAUUUCCAGAUUAAAAAUGUUCAUUUAGAAAACUUGUAAAAAUAGCUUCAGAUUUUAAAACUAGAUUUUUAAAGCUAAAAUAGUAGCAAAGUAAAAACAUAAAUUUUGACAAUAAGUUUAUUUUAAUAUAAAUAAAAUACACAAUUAAAUUUUGUAGAUAUAAUUUUUAGAUUUUUGAGAGGAGGAAUUGAAAACCAUGGAAAAUAAUAUUUUAAAAAUAAGAUAAUAUUAUGAGAAACAUAUAAGACCAAAAAUUCAAAAUCAUAUUUACUAGACAUAAUGAAGUCUACUCUACAAAAUUCUGAUCUAAAAAAUCUGUAAAUUUGGAAACGUGAAUAUAGCUUUAAAUAUGAAAAUUUUGAAAAAUAGAAUUUAUAAGAUAAAAUAAUAGAAAAAAAAUUACAUAGAUUUUGAAUCUAUAGCUUUAUUUGAAUUUAAACAUAAAAUACAUAUUUAAAUUUAUUGAUCUAGAUCUUACAUUUUAAGAGGAGGAAAUGAAAAUACAUGAAAUUUUUUAAAUAAACUAGACUAAUGUUUUUCUUUAAAUUCAAAAAUAUUAGAGAACAAUUAGAGAGUUUUGGAGAGAAUGAAGAGAGUUCUCGAGAGAAUGAAGAGAGUUUUAGAGAGAAGUGAGAUAGUUUUAUAAUAUCAAAAUUUUGUGAAGCCAUUUUAUAAAGAGAAUUUGAAAAUUGCCUUUAUAUAUGGAGACAAAAAUUGUAACUAGGUAAAACUUUAUGGCACAAUAGACUUCAACAAGAAGUCUACUAAACUUAAAAUUAUGGAGUCUACGUAGUAGUCGACCUUUUGGAAAUAUAUUACAAUAAAUUCAUUAUUGUUAUUUAUUUUUAUUGUGCUAAUAAUUUUAAUAUAAGAUUUAGAAAAAAAUUAUUUAUUUUUUUGGUAGUUUUAACAUAUGAUAGCUAAAAAAAAGUUUUAACAUAUGAUUUCAUAAUUUUUAUUUAAUCAAAACUAAUUUAGUUAAAAAAUUGUUUUAAUUUUUGUAAUAUUCAAUAUUAGUAGACUAAAAAGGAAGUCUAUUAUACCCUAAAAUCAAGUAUACUUCAUUUGAAGUCUACUAAACCCCAAACCAUAAGUAUUGUCCAACACAAGGUUACCAAACCCAUAUAUAUUCUGGUAAAUUGUUCAACUGUAUUAAAUUUUAAUUUAUAUACCUCAUUUUGAUUCUUUUAUUGUUGAUUUAUAAUAAAUUUUGCACAAAUUAUUUUCAUACAUUUUUAAAAUAAAAUUAUUAUAUCAAAUUAUGACGUAGACUUCCUAGGAAGUCAACACCUUUUAGAUUUAUUUCUUAUAAGUGUAGACAUCCGAAGAAUAGAAUCAUAAAAUAACUUUCUGUUUUUUGUUUGGCAUAAAAAUAAAUACUAAUUUUAGGGUUGACUGUCUAUUCCCCCAUAUAAAGACAAUGACCCUAUCUAUAACCCACUAUAUUACAUACCUUUUGACUAAACCACCCAUAUAUAUGAAUUCUCUUCAUAUUGCCCCCUAUUAUUUUUAACAUUGUCCAUAUCGCCCUUUCUAAUCUAAUUCCGAAAUCAAGAUUAAAACUUAAGAAAUUGAGUUUUGUAAACAUAGAGAUUGCCCAUUAAGAAAAAACCGAUCCGACACUAAAAACCGAUCCGACUCAACAAAAAAAUGAAAACGAUUAUUGGGUGUAAAUUUAAAUGUAUUAAAUUUUAAUUUAUAUACCUCAUUUUGAUUCUUAUAUUGAUGAUUUAUAAUAUUUUCUGCACAAAUUAUUUUUAUACAUUUUUAAAAUAAAAUUAUCAUAUCAAAUUAUGACGUAGACUUCCUAGGAAAUCAACACCUUUUAGAUUUAUUUCUUAUAAGUGUAGACGUCCGAAGAAUAGAAUCAUAAAAUAACUUUCUGUUUUUUGUUUGGCAUAAAAAUAAAUACUAAUUUUAGGGUUGACUGCAUAUUCCCCCAUAUAAACACAAUGACCCUAUCUAUAACCCACUAUAUUACCUACCUUUUGACUAGACCACACAUAUAUAUGAAUUCUCUUCAUAUUGCCCCCUAUUAUUUUUAACACUGUCCAUAUCCCCCUGUCUAAUCUAAUUCCGAAAUCAAGAUUAAAACUUAAGAAAUUGAGUUUUGUAAACAUAGACAUUGCCCAUUAAGAAAAAACCGAUCCGACACUAAAAACCGAUCCGACACAACAAAAAAAUGAAAACGAUUAUUGGGUGUAAAUUUAAAUGAGGUUUUGGUUUCUUUUCUUAAGACAACUAAGACCAUCAUUAAUGCAGUUUCUUGGUAGGGUUUUUAAACAAAAGAAAGCAUUUAAUUAAAUCAAAACAAAAAGAAAUUAUGGUAACCGAUCCUUAGUGAAGUGUUUUGGCAACCGAUCAUUAAGCGGUUUAUUAAUAUACGUGACAUGAAACUGUUAAUUUCUUUUUUUCCUUUUCUUUUCUUUCUCUCCUUUCUCAUCUUUUCUCGUGUUCUCCGUCGGGAGGACGAUUGGUUUUGUGAAAGGUAUCAUCUCCUCCGUGCAAUCGGCGUAUCUCUGUUUUUCCCUUCUCUCGUCAUCUCCUGUGAGGAGAGGGUACUGGGGUAACAAAAUUGGCAAGCCGCAUACGGUUUCUUGUAAGGUUACGGGGAAGUGUGGUUCCGUUACGGUGAGGAUGGUUCCUGCUCCCAGAGGUGCUGGUAUCGUGGCGGCUAGGGUUCCUAAGAUGGUGCUUCAGUUCAAUGGGAUUGAUGAUGUUUUCACUUCUUCCAGGGGAUCUACUAAGACUCUUGGAAACUUCGUCAAGUACUCAUGGAUAAUCAGAGAGAGAUAGAUAUUUGUGUUGAGAUGUGACAAAGCCUUUAGAGGUUCUUUGUUUAUCAUUAUGCUCUGCUCCAUCUCUUAAGCUAAAACAAAAUGGAUGGGUUGGAAACUUUGCGCUUGGAGCAAGCUAUAUCAGUUUGCCAUGGUGGGCUGGGCAAGCAUUGUUUGGCACUGAUGCUGCAAAAUGGAUAUGCGUUAGUGCUAUAGACGUUACUCAGCUCUCUGUUUCCGGUAUGUAGUAUGACUUCUAUUUCUUGUGCUUGAUCUUAUGAACUAGAUGAUCAUUAGUGAAUGUCUAUUCUGGUUGCAGUGUAUCUUGUGAUCAAAAUUUAUACAUAAAGUAAUCAAAAACAAUUUCUACUUUUUAAUCACAUAUAUGGCAUCUUCUUCUCAAAUCUAUUUUUACUAUGUUUUAUUUUUUAAAAAAAUUUAAUUUUAAUACAACAAUGUUUAAAUUUUUUUUUUAAGAACCCUUCAUUAAGAAACUCCCAAUGGAGCACAAAAUCUAGAAGUUUCUUAAUUAAAAUUUUUAACUAAUUUUUAUUAUCAAACAAGUCACUAAGAAACCCAAAUGGAGUUAUAGGGAUAAUGAUGCUCUAAGAACAGAUACGACAAAGAACAAAUAGAGAGAUAAGAG